AAAUUGAAGAGUUUGAUCAUGGCUCAGAUUGAACGCUGGCGGCAGGCCUAACACAUGCAAGUCGAACGGUAACAGGAAGCAGCUUGCUGCUUCGCUGACGAGUGGCGGACGGGUGAGUAAUGUCUGGGAAACUGCCUGAUGGAGGGGGAUAACUACUGGAAACGGUAGCUAAUACCGCAUAAUGUCGCAAGACCAAAGAGGGGGACCUUCGGGCCUCUUGUCAUCGGAUGUGCCCAGAUGGGAUUAGCUUGUUGGUGGGGUAACGGCUCACC
RNAcentral lists this ribosomal RNA (272 nucleotides) under Escherichia coli. Its description in RNAcentral is "partial 16S ribosomal RNA". It matches the Rfam family "Bacterial small subunit ribosomal RNA", at positions 1 to 269 of the family's 1533-position model. Lineage: Bacteria; Pseudomonadati; Pseudomonadota; Gammaproteobacteria; Enterobacterales; Enterobacteriaceae. The record is from RNAcentral.